This is a long non-coding RNA of Neopelma chrysocephalum (saffron-crested tyrant-manakin), 821 nucleotides long. RefSeq lists it as uncharacterized. Lineage: Eukaryota; Metazoa; Chordata; Aves; Passeriformes; Pipridae. The record is from RefSeq and is a predicted model, not a curated record. The transcript is spliced from 3 exons.
GACGGGCGGUGCUGCCCUCUCGUGUCGCUUCCCGGCGGUGCCUGUCCCCACCCUCCGCCGGCGCUGGCCCGGCUGGGGCCGCGAUGGCUGAGCGUGGAACGGCCCGCGGGGCCCGCUCAGUGCUGUCCCGUACGUGUCUCUGUCCUCGUCCCUCCCCGAACACGUGUGCUUCGGAUCACUUUUUUUCUCCUCCUGAAAUUCUCCAAAUCUACCCAAAAUCUAAUAAUUUUAGAAAUUCCAAAAUAAGUGGCAGCGUGCAUCUCUCGGGUUUUAACAUCUGUUCCACAGCUGAUAUAAACUUGCUGUAACUCUGAGCUCGGGGGCGCUCGGAGCUCUUGCGCCUCUCGUCCUGUUCCGUGACGAAGCUGCAGCAUUCACUGUGCAACACGUGGUUGUUCCAGAACGCGACGGCAGGGGGAGAACUUACACUGGUUUUGGGGACCGUCGCUAGUUUGUGACUGUAGGCUGUCACGGAGGCAAGCCAAGAGCAUUUGCAAACAAUGAAGUUCUGCAAAUUAAGAGGUGGAAAAAAUAUAAGCCAUCGUGAAAUUUCAUACCUUGGUAUACCAAGAUGAAGAUUUUAUAUAUCUUGAGUACUAGAGUCGUGUUUAAUGUUUAAUGUUGAUGUUGCUUAAUGCUUACUCUUGCCUUAGUUACUUACUAGAGAUUUAUCACACAGCUUCAGAAUAAAAGCAACCAAAAAACCCUCCAAAAUAAAUCUGCAUUCGUUUUUGGACUGUGUCCUUUCUGUUACAGGAUUUCAUUAGCGAGAGCUGUUUUUUGUGCAGCAAGACAGAACUUGGUGUCAAUUUACAGGACUU